AUGUGAAAUUCUCGUUUUGUUAUUUCAUUUUAUCUUUUGGUGUGAUAUAUGAAGCCACAACACGUGAAACGAGGAAAUUUGUACAUGCUGAAAUAAGUACACGCCAGUGAAUGGAAGAAUACUACAAUGUUAUGUUCUUUCUAUCGUUUCUUUGGAACAGGAUUGUACAUUUUUUAGUUAUUUUUGUACCUUAUGAGGUUUUUUGUUUUACUUUACUUGUGGAAUUUCACUAGUGUGUUGUUGUGGAAGAAAACAUCUCCCAUUGUGUUCCUCUA
This is a long non-coding RNA of Solanum tuberosum (potato), 275 nucleotides long. RefSeq lists it as uncharacterized. Lineage: Eukaryota; Viridiplantae; Streptophyta; Magnoliopsida; Solanales; Solanaceae. The transcript has 2 exons. The record is from RefSeq and is a predicted model, not a curated record.